GACAACAGCCACAAACUCCUUCCGCCCAAUCUGAUUGGUAUAAAACGCCAUUCAACUUCCACUUUACUGCCUACUGAUUCUAGCGGAGUAAUUAAGAACUUGCAAUUUCGAAUCAGUUGUUGUAGGAAAAGGUAUCUUUCCUCUUCUGCCAUUGAUGGGGCCGCUCCAUCCAACUUGCCUGCCGAUCUGGGAAGAAUCUAAGUCGGCGACCGGCUAGGGUUAACUGCUUCACACCACUGGAUCUCGAAUAUGGAAUUGUCAAACCCGACUCUCCUACGGAGAGAUGAAAUUGGAAUCGGAAGAGACAAAUUGGUAGUGGAAGUUGGAGUUGGGAAAGCCAUGGCCAACAACGAACAGAGGAAGAGCAAUAUGUCUCACGAUUUUAAUUGGCAUAAAGGUUCGACAAUACGUCCAGGUCCAGAUUAUUGAUUAUGCACUUUUCCUUGGAAACACCGCAAUGGCAAGUCGGCAAUGGUUGUCCUCUUUAGUUUAUUCUCUUUCAGAAGUUCAGGGACUGGGUUUGUGUUCUUGAGCGAGGAGUUUGAAGUUUUUUGGAUUCGUUGAACUUGACAAUUCACAUUUGAGUUGGUUUGAGUUGCUCCCUCUAUGAGUGGAUACCAAGGAUUUGGUUUUCAGUAAACAGGAUGGCUUUUGGUCAUUGUUGGUGUAGGUGGCUGUAGAAUUCGAUAACUCUGAUGGUACUGGGUGCUUGAUUGAGCUGGGUAAACUUACAAACUCUCACUUUCGAAAUUGUGGUCAGCCUAGAGGUUUUGAAUUGUUCAUGAUAGUCAAAAUACCGUCUCUUAACUCCGAAAAUGAGACCUUUUUCGCCUCUGUUAGCAAGUGAAUGAAUGUUAAUUUUCAUAGGAUUCACUGAUUCAUGUUUGUUUGCAGCUUAUACAAGAUGAGCCCUUUGCUUAUUCAUCCGGCUGAGGAAGAUUGGAAAGUAGGUUUUCAACAUGCAAUUUAAGCCACAAUUGAAACUUAAUUAGGUACACAUCCUCUUUCCCGAUGAACAAAUUCUGAAUUAUAUUAUUAUGUACCUAGCUUUGUAGUCAAAUUGAUAUACCGCUGGCCAUGAGAACAAGUGUCGAUUAGAGAUAUUGCUACCCUUCUUGAUAAGGUUAGUCUAUAUCAGUUCAUUACAUGCUUAAUUUCGUAGUUCUGGUUCGGGGAAAGAUGAUACUUCGUGUUAAUUGGUGGUCAGGUACUAAUCAAGUGGCACCUAGCUUAGUUUAUAUCUAUCUGAGCCAACUGAAGUCCAUCUGGCAUCGCCAAAGUAGUUAUAUAUGGCUGACUGAUACAUUCAUUAAAUAUAUAUAUCAUAACUGAAACAUGCAUAAAUUUUCAGUUGGGGUAAGUAAGUUACAACUGAGUGCAAGUGAUGAGGUACAAGUGGCAAGUUUUGUAUGUUGAUAUUUCAAAUGUUGGUUUCUGGAAACACCUAGCUUUACAUAUGGUUUAACAACAAGCCAAGCAUGACCAGGAUGCCUUAUAAUGUGCUAAUAGAUUUUUUUAAGCAUUCUGUAUUGGGAUCCAUGGCGUGUUAUGUUGUUUGUAGGGGUCUGGAUACGAUGGGGAUUAGGAGCAAUGCCAAAGGUAAUGGUUUUGAGUGCUCGAUAACACUACCAACAGCAGAGUUAUGGGGUGGUGAAUAGGGAAUGAAGUUAGUGGUAACUUCAAGACCAUUUCAGUAUGGUUCUAGCCGGGAUUGUUUAGAAUUAUGAAGAAGAUACAAGAGGUUGUGAGGCGUUAAGAUGAUCAUGUCAAAUUGACAAUGCUUAGUCUUCUCACAUGAUGUACAAUCACAAUGAGUCAGUGAUGAUGAUGAAGAGGGCUAUGAUAUGUGGAAUAUGUUUGUUUCCUCUUUAGUUUUAGGCGAUUUGUGUAGGUUAUUGUCGACAAACCCUUUUGCUAUAUAUGUAUUGUGGUUACAGUUUUGGAUUUAUGUAGGUGUGAAUGGCAAAUCUAAGAACAUAAGUGGCUUACAUCAGGUGGGUUCAUCUCUCUUGAACCAUUAGCUCUUCAAUCUUCGAUCUUGACAUCCACUUCGAUUUUAAAAGCAAAAAAAUAAUCACCCUUUCUAUGUACUAACAAAUCAUACAGC
RNAcentral lists this long non-coding RNA (2107 nucleotides) under Linum usitatissimum (flax). Its description in RNAcentral is "long non-coding RNA (LUSI_LNC003573)". Lineage: Eukaryota; Viridiplantae; Streptophyta; Magnoliopsida; Malpighiales; Linaceae. The record is from RNAcentral.